GUUCCUGAAUAUUUGUCACAGCAAUGAGCUAAAGCCCCUGGAAGAGGUGAAGUUGGGAAACUGUGGAUUGCCAAGACUCAAGGAAGGACUGAGGUGUCAUUUACUUUGAAUGAAGAUCUUGCAAAUAUUCAUGAUAUUGGCCGAAAAGCAGCUUCAGUCAGUGCUCAUAAAGAACAUCCAUUUGUCUUGCAAAAUAUUGGAGGCCAUAUAUGAACAAUAUUUACUGAGAGCUCAUCAGAUAAGCUGUCUUCGGAAGGAAUAGUGGUACAAAGAACUGAAUGCCAACAGACUGCCAGUGAAAAGUACAUGAGAUUAAAAAGAUUGCAAAUAGAGGAAUCUUCCAAACCUGUAAGGCUAUCACAACAACUGGACAAAGUUGUAACAGCCAGUUUUGAACCUGUUGCUAAUCAAUACAAUACUGAAUGUGAAAGGAAAGAGAAAACAGAUGGAAAAUAAGCUCCAGCUAAUAAACAACACGUUUCAGACAUGCUAUUUUCAGCCUUUAGAAAUAUCAAUAUUAUCAUCUUAAGGACUUGGUGGACAUCACAAAACAACCUGUGGUAUACCUGAGGGAACUCUUAAAUUGGUCUUCAGAAUGUAAAAGAGAUCCACAAAAACACGUGGGAGCUGAAACCAGAGUACAGACAUCACCAAGGAGAAGAAAUGAGUGAUUAA
RNAcentral lists this long non-coding RNA (675 nucleotides) under Homo sapiens (human). RNAcentral's name for it is "non-protein coding lnc-TMEM184C-1:1". The record is from RNAcentral. Lineage: Eukaryota; Metazoa; Chordata; Mammalia; Primates; Hominidae.